Molecule: ribosomal RNA, 382 nt
Filed under: uncultured eukaryote
Lineage: Eukaryota
Description: partial 18S ribosomal RNA
Rfam family: Eukaryotic small subunit ribosomal RNA
Source: RNAcentral
CAAUAGCGUAUAUUAAAGUUGUUGCAGUUAAAAAGCUCGUAGUUGGAUUUCUGGUGGGAGCGAUCGGUCUGGCGCUUAGCGCGAGUACUUGCAUCGUCUCCGGCCAUCCUUGGGGAGAGUCUGUCUGGCAUUAGGUUGUCGGGCAGAGGAUCCUCAUCGUUUACUGUGAAAAAAUUAGAGUGUUCAGAGCAGGCUUAUGCCGUUGAAUAUAUUAGCAUGGAAUAAUAAGAUAGGACUUUGGUACUAUUUUGUUGGUUUGCGCACCAAAGUAAUGAUUAAUAGGGACAGUUGGGGGUAUUCGUAUUCCGUUGUCAGAGGUGAAAUUCUUGGAUUUACGGAAGACGAACUACUGCGAAAGCAUUUACCAAGGAUGUUUUCAUUA